Molecule: ribosomal RNA, 312 nt
Filed under: uncultured Actinomycetes bacterium
Lineage: Bacteria; Bacillati; Actinomycetota; Actinomycetes
Description: bacterial SSU rRNA
Rfam family: Bacterial small subunit ribosomal RNA
Source: RNAcentral
GUAAACAGGUGGUGCAUGGUUGUCGUCAGCUCGUGUCGUGAGAUGUUGGGUUAAGUCCCGCAACGAGCGCAACCCUCGUUCUAUGUUGCCAGCACGUAAUGGUGGGAACUCAUGGGAUACUGCCGGGGUCAACUCGGAGGAAGGUGGGGAUGACGUCAAAUCAUCAUGCCCCUUAUGUCUUGGGCUUCACGCAUGCUACAAUGGCCGGUACAAAGGGCUGCAAUACCGUAAGGUGGAGCGAAUCCCAAAAAGCCGGUCCCAGUUCGGAUUGAGGUCUGCAACUCGACCUCAUGAAGUCGGAGUCGCUAGUAA